UUGAUCCUGGGCUCAGAGUGAACGCUAGCGGCGUGGUUAAGACAUGCAAGUCGAACGAUGAAGCCCAGCUUGCUGGGCGGAUUAGUGGCAUACGGGUGCGUAACACGUGAGCAACCUGCCUUGAAGUGGGGAAUAGCCCGGGGAAACCCGGAUUAAUACCGCAUGUGGUCUCUUUUCGCAUGAAAAGACGACUAAAGUUUGUAAUGACUCUUCAAGAGGGGCUCGCGGCCUAUCAGCUUGUUGGUGAGGUAAAGGCUCACCAAGGCAAAGACGGGUAGCUGGUCUGAGAGGAUGAUCAGCCACACUGGAACUGAGAUACGGUCCAGACACCUACGGGUGGCAGCAGUUUCGAAUCAUUCACAAUGGGGGAAACCCUGAUGGUGCAACGCCGCGUGGAGGAUGACGGCCUUCGGGUUGUAAACUCCUGUCACCAAGGAACAAACGGCAGGUUCAUAGCCUGUCCUGAGUUAACUUGGAGAGGAAGAGGUGGCUAACUCCGUGCCAGCAGCCGCGGUAAUACGGAGACCUCGAGCGUUACUCGGAUUCACUGGGCGUAAAGAGUAUGUAGGCGGUUUGGUAUGUCAGGUGUGAAAGCCCGAAGCUCAACUUCGGAAUUGCGCCUGAAACUACCGGACUUGAGGCCUGGAGAGGGGAGUGGAAUUCCUGGUGUAGCGGUGAAAUGCGUAGAUAUCAGGAGGAACACCAAUGGCGAAGGCAGCUCCCUGGACAGGUUCUGACGCUGAGAUACGAAAGCGUGGGUAGCGAAAGGGAUUAGAUACCCCUGUAGUCCACGCCGUAAACGUUGUACACUAGGUUUCGGAGGGCCUACCCCUUCGGAGCUCAAGCUAACGCGAUAAGUGUACCGCCUGAGGACUACGGCCGCAAAGGCUAAAACUCAAAGGAAUUGACGGGGGCCCGCACAAGCGGUGGAGCAUGUGGCUUAAUUCGAUGCAACGCGAAGAACCUUACCUAGGCUUGACCUGAACCGGACGAUUUUCGGAAACGGAUUCUCCCUUCGGGGCCGGUCACAGGUGCUGC
Molecule: ribosomal RNA, 1038 nt
Filed under: uncultured organism
Description: bacterial SSU rRNA
Rfam family: Bacterial small subunit ribosomal RNA
Source: RNAcentral